AAGUCGUAACAAGGUUUCCGUAGGUGAACCUGCGGAAGGAUCAUUAACCUUUCAGAUCAGGGUGCGGCGCGGCCCCCGAGGAGCGGAAACAAUCCUUGGGAGGUAUGCGGGGGCUUCGAGCCCCCCAUUUACGCACGCACGACUGCCAUCCUUACUUUACGAGCACCUUCUGUUCUCCCUCGGCGGGGCAACCUGCCGUUGGAACCGAAUAAACUCUUUUUGCAUCUAGCAUUACCUGUUCCGAAACAAACAAUCGUUACAACUUUCAACAAUGGAUCUCUUGGCUCUG
RNAcentral lists this unclassified non-coding RNA (289 nucleotides) under Pseudopithomyces sp. RNAcentral describes it as "partial internal transcribed spacer region". The stretch from base 1 to 46 matches the Rfam family "Eukaryotic small subunit ribosomal RNA", at positions 1786 to 1831 of the family's 1831-position model. Lineage: Eukaryota; Fungi; Ascomycota; Dothideomycetes; Pleosporales; Didymosphaeriaceae. The record is from RNAcentral.